CUAUUUUCUCUAAUAUUUCUGUAUAUGUUUCACUUAUAUCUGAGCCUUGUUCUGAACAAUUUUCAAUCUAUAUCAACAUUAUCAACUCUUAUAUCUGGAGUUUCUUUUUCUUCAGUUAAUUUUUCUUUAAAUUUUUCUAUUUCCAUUUUUAAUUCUGUUUUCCAUUGUUUUUUCUUUUUGUUUGGCUGCAUAUAAUUCUUUAAGCAUGGCUAAUUCUUUUUCUAAGGCAAUUAUCUUAUCAUUUUUUACUUCUUCUAUUUGUUGUAUUUCUAAUUUUGCUUGUUGCUUAAUUGUAUCUAUUUCUCUUUUUCUGUCAAUUUCUUCAUUUUCUUUAUUUAUUCGUACCAUGGCAAUUAAACUAUCUUCUAAUUUUUUUGUUUCUUUUUCUAUCAUUAGAUAUAAGUUUUCGCCUAUCUUCUUGUAUCGUCUUCCUAAAUUUGAAAAUAUUAUCUUUAUUUUUAAUCAUUCUAGAUUUUCGUAAAUUUUUUCUUCUAUGGCAAAUUCUUCCUUAUUCAUCUUAAAUUAUGUUUCAAUUUAUACUCUAUUGCUUGUAUUUCUAGUUGUAGGUUAAAUAUUAUUUUUCUUUGUGCUAGCAAAGAUUUUUGACAUACUCCUGCAUAUAUAUUAUGUUGAAGCCUUUCUUGUCUAUAUUUUAAUUCUUGUCGUUUUUUAAUUACNN
Molecule: long non-coding RNA, 679 nt
Filed under: Solanum tuberosum (potato)
Lineage: Eukaryota; Viridiplantae; Streptophyta; Magnoliopsida; Solanales; Solanaceae
Description: long non-coding RNA (STUB_LNC009788)
Source: RNAcentral